Molecule: ribosomal RNA, 274 nt
Filed under: uncultured bacterium
Lineage: Bacteria
Description: partial 16S ribosomal RNA
Rfam family: Bacterial small subunit ribosomal RNA
Source: RNAcentral
AUACGGAGGGUGCGAGCGUUAAUCGGAAUUACUGGGCGUAAAGCGUACGUAGGCGGUUUGUUAAGUUAGAUGUGAAAGCCCUGGGCUUAACCUGGGAACUGCAUUUAAAACUGGCGAACUAGAGUUGAGUAGAGGGGAGUGGAAUUUCAGGUGUAGCGGUGAAAUGCGUAGAGAUCUGAAGGAACACCAGUGGCGAAGGCGACUCCCUGGACUCGAACUGACGCUGAGGUACGAAAGCGUGGGUAGCAAACGGGAGUAGAUACCCUAGUAGUCC